AUUGAACGCUGGCGGCAUGCUUUACACAUGCAAGUCGAACGGUAACAGGCCUUCGGGUGCUGACGAGUGGCGAACGGGUGAGUAAUGCAUCGGAACGUACCCAGAGGUGGGUGAUAACGCAGCGAAAGCUGUGCUAAUACUGCAUGUGAUCUGAGGAUGAAAGCGGGGGACCGAGCAGCAAUGUUGGGCCUCGCGCCUUUGGAGCGGCCGAUGUCGGAUUAGCGAGUGGUUGGGGUAAAGGCGUACCAAGGCGACGAUCCGUAGCUGGUCUGAGAGGACGAGCAGCCAAACUGGGACGGGGACACGGCCCAGACUCCUACGGCAGGCAGCCGUGGCGAAUUUUGGACAAUGGGAGCAAGCCUGAUCCAGCCAUGCCGCGUGCGGGACGAAGGCCUUCGGGUUGUAAACCGCUUUUGGCAGGAACGAAACGGUGUCCGCUAAUACCGGGCGCUAAUGACGGUACCUUCAGAAUAAGCACCGGCUAACUACGUG
RNAcentral lists this ribosomal RNA (492 nucleotides) under uncultured bacterium. RNAcentral describes it as "partial 16S ribosomal RNA". It matches the Rfam family "Bacterial small subunit ribosomal RNA", at positions 29 to 507 of the family's 1533-position model. The record is from RNAcentral.